CGUGUAGGCGGGCCAGCACGUCGGUCGCUGAAAUCCCCCGGCUUAACCGGGGAACGGGCGCCGAUACGACUGGCCUGGAGGGAGGUAGGGGGAGCCGGAACUCACGGUGGAGCGGUGAAAUGCGUUGAGAUCGUGAGGAACGCCCGUGGCGAAAGCGGGCUCCUGGACCUCGCCUGACGCUGAGACGCGAAAGCCAGGGGAGCGAACG
RNAcentral lists this ribosomal RNA (208 nucleotides) under uncultured bacterium. Its description in RNAcentral is "partial 16S ribosomal RNA". It matches the Rfam family "Bacterial small subunit ribosomal RNA", at positions 568 to 774 of the family's 1533-position model. The record is from RNAcentral.